CCUACGGGGGGCAGCAGCCGCGGUAAUACGUAGGGAGCAAGCGUUAUCCGGAUUUACUGGGUGUAAAGGGCGCGUAGGCGGGAUGGCAAGUCAGAUGUGAAAUCCAGGGGCUCAACCCCUGAACUGCAUUUGAAACUGUCGUUCUUGAGUACUGGAGAGGUUGACGGAAUUCCUAGUGUAGCGGUGAAAUGCGUAGAUAUUAGGAGGAACACCAGUGGCGAAGGCGGUCAACUGGACAGCAACUGACGCUGAGGCGCGAAAGCGUGGGGAGCAAACAGGAUUAGAUACCCCUGUAGUCCGAACAG
RNAcentral lists this ribosomal RNA (305 nucleotides) under uncultured bacterium. Its description in RNAcentral is "bacterial SSU rRNA". It matches the Rfam family "Bacterial small subunit ribosomal RNA", at positions 500 to 802 of the family's 1533-position model. The record is from RNAcentral.